This 66-nucleotide transfer RNA is filed under the name Coptotermes michaelseni. RNAcentral's name for it is "tRNA-Arg". The record is from RNAcentral. Lineage: Eukaryota; Metazoa; Arthropoda; Insecta; Blattodea; Rhinotermitidae.
AAGUGAGAAGCAACUUCUUGCAAUCAGUUUCGACCUGAUCUUAGAUAGUAAACCUAUCCUCACUAU